UUCUGCCUCCGCCUCACGGUCCUCUGGGGAAGGCGCUUAGUAACCAGGGCCCCUUUAGGUCAUCUGUGUAGCAGAAAACGUGGUUCUAGGUAGCUUGCAGCUUUAGAAUUCUACGAGUUCAAGCUACUUCUCGUAAAAAAAAAUUUAGCCCCUGACUAGAUUUGUUCACAAACUGAACCUGUUUGGAGGCCGCAGUAACUACAGGUGAAAGUGGAAUUGUCUAAAUCACCUCUCCCGCCUCAUUCCGUGUAGAGAAGACUUGGAAUAAAAGAAAAGCUUUCUUUGGGAAGAAAUCAUGACAAAUCAUGAUUUGUCAUGAUUUCUUCCAUCCCUGCAGGAAAGCCACAGGAAAAACAGGUUUUCUCUAUAGAAACACAACUACAACAUACACCUUCAGGAAUGGCCUCACGUUUAAGUGCCUGUGAAUAAAGCAUUUCUUUUGAUUUUGCUCUAACCAAGACCCUCCCACAGCCAUGAGGCCUGUCUUCUUUCAGCCAGAGAAAACUCACAGCUUAAAGGCAGACAGAAGCCCGUUCUACUGUUACCGGCUGUAAGUUUUGUGGUGGCCGGCCUCCAACAUGGCCUGCAGUAAUCCCUCCCCGCUGGUCUUCAUGUCUUUGUGUCAGCCUCUCCCACUGUCCCACACUGUACAGAAUUGUCUGUGUGAUCAACAGAAUACAGAGAAGCAAUGAUAUGCCACUUCCCAAACUCAGUUAUAAAAGACUAUGGCUUCAGACCUGGGCUCUUAUUCUCUCUCUCUCUCUCGUCCCUUGCCCUAGUGGAAGCCAGUUGCCAUGGGAUGAAGACAUUCAGGCAAACAGUGGAGAGGCCCAUGAUAAGGCAGAAAACUGAAAUCCCUGCUAACAGCUGUGAACUGCCCCAUUUUGAGGAUGAUUUGCUACGAUAUUACUGCCACUGCGGUGUGUAAAUAUCACUGGCAGAUUGAGAGCAGAAAUAUUUUUCAAAUAACUGUGCCUGGAUCCUGUCUCUAUAAGUGUCUGUCUCUGCCCAUAGAAUAUGAGCUCUAUAAGGAAUUUGUUCUUUUGUCAUUUUUGUUCACUGAAGAACCCCAAGGGCCUGGAACUUGACAGCUGGUAGACAUGCAACAAAUACGUCCUGACUGAUGCUGGCUAUCAUCCCACGACUGCACUGUUCAUGAAGAUCAACCAAGUCCUCAUGCUCUACUCCUUGACCACUGAGAGUCCUCGGGUUUCUUUUUCAAGAAAAUACUGAGCAGCCAGGGAAAAAUUCUACUUACCAAGUGAUUACAUUUUCUUGAAAACUUAUUCUGGCUAUGACUCAGCCUCAGGAGCUUGGUUGGUGUGAAUAUACCCUGGGUGAGCUAAUAAAAUCAAAGCCCUGAAAAUGCAAAGUUGAGGUCCCAACCCUGAAUCCAUGCUCCCCUGGGGACUGGGACGAGGAAAAGGGCAGUGCAGAUGUGGAGAAGUGGACAGCUGACGAUGCGAGGCGCUCUAGGGUGUUUGAAGAAGGGCAUGCAGGUGGCUGUGCUUUAGGAUGAUUGACCUGGCUGGGCUGCGUCUAAAAGGAGCAGUCAGAGCUAACUUAGUGGUCCCCUGUCAUGUUCUUCUUGGGCAGCUCCAGGUUCAAAGAAGCUCCACGCAGCUCUGCAGGUGGGAUCAACCCAGACACAUGGCUCUCAGUCUGCAAACAUCAUGUCUUCACUGCACAGCCUGCCCUCAUCGAGAAGGGUGUCUCCAGUCUUUCCAAGAACAUGACACAUGACAAAGUUAGGACAGGACUGUAGACUCUCCAAGCUCCCUAUUGUACAUGACAUAGUUUAAAGAAUCAGAGUUUUCCUGAAAGAGGCAAGUUAACCUUGACUUGCAGAGUAUUUGGACAGUCACAAAAAGCCAUGGUAAGCAAUAAUUGUUCUGCUGGGACUUUACAAUAUCAAAAUCAGACAUUGAUGUCUGUCCACCCCAUGCAUUCCCCUCCUUCUGUGUGCAAGAAUUGAUUUCCACUAGUUGAAAUUCACACAAUAAAGGAAACUUUUGUUUUCAAUUCUGCUGAUGAGAGAGACAAUUAUAUGCGACCUCCUCAUUGAUUGACUGUGCUGUUUUCUUAGAUUUACUUCUUGGGAGAAUCAUUAAACAUAAGAGAAAAAGAUUUGUUUCCAUCGAUUGGAUGAUGUGUCCAUCUGACAGCCCUGGUUUUUAUAUUAAAGUUAUUAUGUCAUUAAUGUAAUUUGCAGAAUCAAGAAGAAAUCACUCAGGUUCUGAUUGUAUUGCUGGUUAUGUUUUUUUUCAAAUAAAUAAAAACUUUUUAAAGGA
This is a long non-coding RNA of Neofelis nebulosa (Clouded leopard), 2291 nucleotides long. RefSeq lists it as uncharacterized. The transcript has 3 exons. The record is from RefSeq and is a predicted model, not a curated record. Lineage: Eukaryota; Metazoa; Chordata; Mammalia; Carnivora; Felidae.